Long non-coding RNA from Bos taurus (domestic cattle), 603 nucleotides. The record is from Ensembl. Lineage: Eukaryota; Metazoa; Chordata; Mammalia; Artiodactyla; Bovidae.
GGACUGUAUAGUCCAUGGACUUCUCCAGGCCAGAAUACUGGAGGGGAUAGCCUUUCCCUUCUCCAGGGGAUCUUCCCUACCCAGAGACUGAACCCGGGUCUCUUGCAUUGCAGGCAGAUUCUUUACCAGCUGAGCCACUAAGGAAGCCCAAGAAUACUGCAGUGGAUAGCCUAUCUCUUCUCCAGCGAAUCUUCCCAACCCAGGAAUCGAACUGGGGUCUCCUGCAUUGCAGGCAGAUUCUUUACCAGCCUGCCCCCACCCUUCUCUGGGUGCCCCUCUGUGCCUGCUUGGCCUGGGCCCUUAGCCGCACAGAAGAAGCAUCCAGAAUUGGAGGCUGGGUCCUCCCACUGGAAGUAUCCCCCAUCUUAAUCCGUGGAUGGCUAAUCUCACCUUCAAGAUGCAUCUUGAAAGCCACCGUCUGCAGGAAGCUUCCCAGAUCUCCGCCAAGGUAAGGUGGACGUGCAAACAACUGCUCAGAGUGCUGGCACUCAGGAACGCACUGUGCAAACAGCGAGCACCUACUCUCUGCUGUUACACACGCCGGAUGUCGAGAGGCACCAAGAGGGUGGUGUGCUCACGGUCAAGCACCAGCCGGACGUGAGG